This 428-nucleotide ribosomal RNA is filed under the name uncultured Pseudomonas sp. Its description in RNAcentral is "bacterial SSU rRNA". It matches the Rfam family "Bacterial small subunit ribosomal RNA", at positions 957 to 1382 of the family's 1533-position model. Lineage: Bacteria; Pseudomonadati; Pseudomonadota; Gammaproteobacteria; Pseudomonadales; Pseudomonadaceae. The record is from RNAcentral.
CAACGACGAAGAACCUUACCAGGCCUUGACAUGCAGAGAACUUUACCAGAGAUGGAUUGGUGCCUUCGGGAACUCUGACACAGGUGCUGCAUGGCUGUCGUCAGCUCGUGUCGUGAGAUGUUGGGUUAAGUCCGUAACGAGCGCAACCCUUGUCCUUAGUUACCAGCACGUUAUGGUGGGCACUCUAAGGAGACUGCCGGUGACAAACCGGAGGAAGGUGGGGAGUGACGUCAAGUCAUCAUGGCCCUUACGGCCUGGGCUACACACGUGCUACAAUGGUCGGUACAAAGGGUUGCCAAGCCGCGAGGUGGAGCUAACCCCAUAAAACCGAUCGUAGUCCGGAUCGCAGUCUGCAACUCGACUGCGUGAAGUCGGAAUCGCUAGUAAUCGUGAAUCAGAAUGUCACGGUGAAUACGUUCCCGGGCCUU